GAUUGGAGUCUGCAACCCGACUCCAUGAAGCUGGAUUCGCUAGUAAUCGCGCAUCAGCCACGGCGCGGUGAAUACGUUCCCGGGCCUUGUACACACCGCCCGUCAAGCCAUGGAAGCCGGGAGUGCCUGAAGUGCGUGACCGCAAGGAGCGUCCUAAGGCAAUACCGGUGACUGGGGCUAAGUCGUAACAAGGUAGC
This 197-nucleotide ribosomal RNA is filed under the name uncultured bacterium. Its description in RNAcentral is "partial 16S ribosomal RNA". It matches the Rfam family "Bacterial small subunit ribosomal RNA", at positions 1296 to 1500 of the family's 1533-position model. The record is from RNAcentral.